CCAUGGCGCGUUGUAGACUAAAGGGGCGGCAUGUUGCGUGGGCCAGGUAUAAAUCCGUUGGAAAACGGUAUCAUGGAGGGUGAGAAUCCCGUCUUUGACCUGGUGAAUAACCCAUGCAUGUACGUUGCGCUUCCGACGAGUCGGGUUGUUUGGGAAUGCAGCCCAAAAUGGGUGGUAAAUUUCAUCUAAGGCUAAAUACAGGCACGAGACCGAUAGCGAACAAGUACCAUGAGGGAAAGGUGAAAAGAACUUUGAAAAGAGAGUCAAAAAGUACGUGAAACCGUUAAAGGGGAAACGAAUGGGGCUAGCACAAGUAUUUUGCCGGCGGUUGCAAUCAGCCGUCGGGGCAGUGGAGGGCGGCUGUGCCUGGCGACAGGAGCGAAUCCUGCGGGCAGAGGCAYACGUUUCUUAUAUCCAUUGCGCCGGCGGUGCACUUGCGGCGCCACCAGGCAGGCCAGCAUCGGUUUAGCCUGGCACACAAAGGCAGCGGGAAGGUAGUUGCGGCGCCUAGGUGUCGUGAUGUUAUAACGCGCGGUUUUUAUCAUGUGCCGGGAAAGACUGAGGAGAAGCAGCGCGCACAAAUUUCGGAGAGCCACCGCUCUGGCUGCGGGCUUGGAAGGACUGUGCCCCGCACGCACCCUCUCACGAGGAGUGCGGACGUGCAGUCGUCCAGGCCGCCAAUCUGGGGGCAUGGGAGUUCUCUUUUGGGGAGGGGGAUAGCAAUAUCUCUUUGCCCAGGRGGGGGGGCCCCGGGCCACGGAGAUCUGCAGCUUGACACGGGGUGUACCCAGACCACGCGCUUGUGAUGCUGGCGGAAAAUGGCGUCAUCCGACCCGUCUUGAAACACGGACCAAGGAGUCUAACAUAUGCGCGAGUCUUUGGGUGGGAAGCCCGCAGGCGAAAUGAAAGUGAAGGCACGCAUGGCGUGGCGAGGUGAGAGGCGAGGCGCGCGGGUCAAACCGCGGGGCGAGCCGCAUCAUCGACCGAUCCGGAUGGUUUCUAUCCUGAAAGAUUUGAGUAAGAGCGUAUCUGUUGGGACCCGAAAGAUGGUGAACUAUGCCUGAACAGGGUGAAGUCUGAGGAAACUCAGAUGGAAGCUCGUAGCGAUUCUGACGUGCAAAUCGAUCGUCUGAUUUGGGUAUAGGGGCGAAAGACUAAUCGAACUAUCUAGUAGYUGGUUCCCUCCGAAGUUUCCCUCAGGAUAGUUGGAACUAACGUAACGCAGUUUUAUCAGGUAAAGCGAAUGAUUAGAGGGCUUGGGGUUGAAAUAACCUCAACCUAUUCUCAAACUUUAAAUAGGUAAGAAGCCUGGCUUGCUUAAGUGAAGCCAGGCAUCACUGAAUGCAAGUUCCAAGUGGGCCAUUUUUGGUAAGCAGAACUGGCGAUGCGGGAUGAACCGAACGCAAAGUUAAAGUGCCAAAGUUCACGCUCACCUAGAACCCAGAAAAGGUGUUGGCUGAUGAAGACAGCAGGACGGUGGCCAUGGAAGUCGGAACCCGCUAAGGAGUGUGUAACAACUCACCUGCCGAAUCAGCCAGCCCUGAAAAUGGAUGGCGCUCAAGCGUGACACUUAUACUUUGCCGUUGCCCUUAAGGUUCGCGAACAUAUGUCGAAAGACGCACAGGGCAACGAGUAGGAGGGCGUGGAGGUCGUGAAGCAGCUUAGGGCGUGAGCCUGAGUGAA
RNAcentral lists this ribosomal RNA (1683 nucleotides) under Paramoebidium curvum. RNAcentral describes it as "eukaryotic LSU rRNA". It matches the Rfam family "Eukaryotic large subunit ribosomal RNA", at positions 133 to 1431 of the family's 3401-position model. Lineage: Eukaryota; Ichthyosporea; Ichthyophonida; Amoebidiaceae. The record is from RNAcentral.